RNAcentral lists this ribosomal RNA (302 nucleotides) under uncultured bacterium. RNAcentral's name for it is "partial 16S ribosomal RNA". It matches the Rfam family "Bacterial small subunit ribosomal RNA", at positions 508 to 807 of the family's 1533-position model. The record is from RNAcentral.
GCAGUCGCCACGGGAAUACGAAGGGGGCUAGCGUUGUUCGGAUUUACUGGGCGUAAAGGGUGCGUAGGCGGAUUGUUAAGCCAGGGGUGAAAUCCCGAGGCUCAACCUCGGAACUGCCUUUGAUACUGGCGAUCUUGAGUCCGGGAGAGGUGAGUGGAACUGCGAGUGUAGAGGUGAAAUUCGUAGAUAUUCGCAAGAACACCGGUGGCGAAGGCGGCUCACUGGCCCGGUACUGACGCUGAGGCACGAAAGCGUGGGGAGCAAACAGGAUUAGAUACCCCCGUAGUCCCUGUCUCUUAUAC